Molecule: ribosomal RNA, 460 nt
Filed under: uncultured bacterium
Lineage: Bacteria
Description: partial 16S ribosomal RNA
Rfam family: Bacterial small subunit ribosomal RNA
Source: RNAcentral
CCUACGGGUGGCAGCAGUGAGGAAUAUUGGUCAAUGGACGAGAGUCUGAACCAGCCAAGUAGCGUGAAGGAUGACUGCCCUAUGGGUUGUAAACUUCUUUUAUAUGGGAAUAAAACGUUCCACGUGUGGGAUUUUGUAUGUACCAUAUGAAUAAGGAUCGGCUAACUCCGUGCCAGCAGCCGAGGUAAUACGGAGGAUCCGAGCGUUAUCCGGAUUUAUUGGGUUUAAAGGGAGCGUAGGUGGAUUGUUAAGUCAGUUGUGAAAGUUUGCGGCUCAACCGUAAAAUUGCAGUUGAAACUGGCAGUCUGGAGUACAGUAGAGGUGGGCGGAAUUCGUGGUGUAGCGGUGAAAUGCUUAGAUAUCACGAAGAACCACGAUUGCGAAGGCAGCUCACUGGACUGCAACUGACACUGAGGCUCGAAAGUGUGGGUAUCAAACAGGAUUAGAUACCCCUGUAGUC